GUCCACGCUGUAAACGAUGAACACUAGAUGUCGGGAGGGGUUCCUUCCGGUGUCGUCGCUAACGCAGUAAGUGUUCCGCCUGGGGAGUACGUUCGCAAGGAUGAAACUCAAAGGAAUUGACGGGGGCCCGCACAAGCGGUGGAGCAUGUGGUUUAAUUCGAUGCAACGCGAAGAACCUUACCUGGGCUUGACAUGGGAAUGACCGCUCGAGAGAUCGAGCUUUCUCUUCGGAGACAUUCCGCACAGGUGCUGCAUGGCUGUCGU
RNAcentral lists this ribosomal RNA (264 nucleotides) under uncultured bacterium. RNAcentral's name for it is "partial 16S ribosomal RNA". It matches the Rfam family "Bacterial small subunit ribosomal RNA", at positions 793 to 1055 of the family's 1533-position model. The record is from RNAcentral.